Molecule: ribosomal RNA, 261 nt
Filed under: uncultured archaeon
Lineage: Archaea
Description: partial 16S ribosomal RNA
Rfam family: Archaeal small subunit ribosomal RNA
Source: RNAcentral
CAGCCGUAAACUAUGCGCGUUAGGUGUAUCGGUGACCACGAGUUACCGAGGUGUCGAAGGGAAACCGUGAAACGUGCCGCCUGGGAAGUACGGUCGCAAGGCUGAAACUUAAAGGAAUUGGCGGGGGAGCACCACAACAGGUGGAGCCUGCGGUUUAAUUGGACUCAACGCCGGGAAGCUCACCGGAUAGGACAGCAGAAUGAUUGCCGGGCUGAAGACCCUGCAUGACUAGCUGAGAGGAGGUGCAUGGCGUCAGUGACU